UUUCCGUAGGUGAACCUGCGGAAGGAUCAUUAUUGUAUAACCGAGGUGCGAGGGCUGUCGCUGACCCGAAAGGUCGUGCACGCCCGAGUGCCCUCACACACAUCCAUCUCACCCCUAUGUGCACCACCGCAGGGGUCCCCCUUUGGCUUGUUCGGAGGGGGGCUUACGUUUUCACACAAACUUUGUAUGCAGUGUAGAAUGUAUUUUUUGUUUUUGCGAUCACGCAAUCAAUACAACUUUCAACAACGGAUCUCUUGGCUCUC
RNAcentral lists this unclassified non-coding RNA (263 nucleotides) under plant metagenome. Its description in RNAcentral is "partial contains small subunit ribosomal RNA, internal transcribed spacer 1, and 5.8S ribosomal RNA". The record is from RNAcentral.